This 252-nucleotide ribosomal RNA is filed under the name uncultured bacterium. RNAcentral's name for it is "partial 16S ribosomal RNA". It matches the Rfam family "Bacterial small subunit ribosomal RNA", at positions 79 to 334 of the family's 1533-position model. The record is from RNAcentral.
CUUUCUUUGCUGGCGACCGGCGCACGGGUGAGUAACACGUAUCCAACCUGCCUUUACUCGGGGAUAGCUUUCGAAAGAAAGAUUAAUACCCGAUAGCAUAAUGAUUCCGCAUGGUUUCAUUAUUAAAGGAUUCCGGUAAAGGAUGGGGAUGCGUUCCAUUAGGUUGUUGGUGAGGUAACGGCUCACCAAGCCUUCGAUGGAUAGGGGUUCUGAGAGGAAGGUCCCCCACAUUGGAACUGAGACACGGUCCAA